ACCUUGGAGGCCGUGGCACACGAGGCAUAACCUUUCUGGCGGCGGAUCACCUCUCGGACUACCCCCCCCAGGCAUGGAGUCUCUGCAGAGGGCGGAAGAGAAAUGAGACCUAAGUCUCAGAGACCGGGUUUAGUAUGAAGUCUUAAAGUGGGGCUGGUAGAAGCAGGACUCAAAUCCAAGCUCCCAAGGCAUAGGACCCCACACCACCCUGGGACGAAUGGUCAUUCCUCGAUGCACUAGGCGUGCUCACCUGGAUGCUGAGGUGUGACCACUAGGUGGCGACAGAGCCUCACAAAGAGUUCCCAGGAUUCCGGUCAGGCAGCAGCCUGACACGUCAGCCGGCACCGCAGCAACCCCGGACUCCUGGACCAUCGGAGCAGGGCCAUACUCCCUCUCUAGGCCCCGCCUUGCAUGCCCCAGCAUGUGGGAGAGCGGGUUCUGCUGGGAGCCUGGCCUGGAUCUAAAUCGCAGCUCUGCCACUUCCUGGCCUCUUGUGCCAAGGAUGCAUCUGAGCAUCAAGUUUCUCAUCUCUAAAACAGGAGUGAUGACGCAUGUCCGGGGCUUGCGGAUGAGAAAAAGACCUGGCAAUGGAUGGGUUUGUGGUAAUUAAGACAAAGGGAGCAUGCACUGCUUGCCAAAGAGAGGUCUCCUGGGGUGUUUUACAAUGGCCAACAUUUAAACCCUGAAGCAUUUUACAUAGAAACCCUGAAUUUCUAGCUUCUUUUGAGAAGAAGCUGCAUCCCACACAGCUGCAUCUGCUAGAGCCAUACCCUCCAAGCUACCACAGUCCCCACCACUCUCUAUUGGGCCUCAUUUCCCCCAAGUCUGUCAGCUCACUCAGCCCCUUGGGCCUUGAAGGCAGGGGAGUUUGCUCCUCAGACAAAUCUUGGAAGUUAGGAACAGUGCAGUCUGUCCCCAUUCUGGGGCAGGUAGGGCUUGGGUGGGUUUUUGUGUAUUUCCCUCGGGCCUGGAAGAGAACCUCACCACCUGUGACUCCCACUGGGCACCCCCAGGAAGGAGGGCAUGGAACCCAGCUGCUCCAGGCCUGUACGUCCCUGCUGGGGGCCGCGGUGGGCAGACCGCAGACCAGCCUUGGUUUGCCUCCCUGGCUCUGAGGCUUUGGAGGCCAGAGCUCGCUACUGACUGAGGAGGAGAUCUCAUUUUGAGGCUGGGAUGGCCUCCUGGUCCCAUCAGCUGCUUGUCAGCUGGGCCUGUGCCCUCUGUUAACCCCAGCAUGGCUUCCUUGUAUACCGAUGGAGUCUCCCCUUCCCCAGAGCCUGCGGAAAUGCUCAUGAGCCAUAGCUCACAUCUCAGCUCAAACAUCACCUCUUCCCCCAGGGAGCCUUUCCUGGUCCUCUAAGCAGAACCAGCCAUCUGCUGCUGCUUCACUGUGCCCACAGCAUGCACUGGCGUCUCCUGUGAGACCUAUUUUAUCCUGCUCAGACAACAGGUGCUUAUUUACAUGUCUGCCUUUCUCCCUGGAUUGUGUUUUCCUGAACGCUGCAGCUCCUACACCCAGCCCAGGACCCACACGAGGUGCUGUAAGCAGCUCCUGGCAGGAAAGAACUCUCGCAGGAGGCCCCCUUUGUCUUGUCACUAACCUUAAACUUGCACCCCCCCAUGCUCUACUCAUCUCCAGCCCUAGCACACCUUUCAGAUCUUUGGAUCGCAUAAUACUCUGCCCAAUCUGUUGGUUCUUUCCAUAGAUCACAGAAGUAGAAAUGAAUAAGUAAUUAACAGAUGACCAGAUCUCUUCCCUAGCUUCCCCCUUCAGUCAUCUCACAGACAAACUGUGUAAGCAAGAUAGCAUCUAAAGAAAAAUCAAAAGAAGUCGACAAGUCUGCACAUAGUCGGAGAUGGUGAUGACUGUGACACACACACACACACACCCCGCCCCGUCUCAAUGAUUAACUGAGACUGCUUCCGUCUUUCCCUUUGAAAACUUUCACGGCCAAGUGAAUCUUCAGAUGUGGUUUUUGGGGGACACUGAGUCCACCAUCUCCCCAGAUUGCCAGCAUUCUGAUUAAAAGCAACUUUCCUUUCUACCAACA
Molecule: long non-coding RNA, 2051 nt
Organism: Aethalodelphis obliquidens (Pacific white-sided dolphin)
Lineage: Eukaryota; Metazoa; Chordata; Mammalia; Artiodactyla; Delphinidae
Exons: 2
Source: RefSeq, a predicted model, not a curated record